This 465-nucleotide ribosomal RNA is filed under the name uncultured bacterium. RNAcentral describes it as "partial 16S ribosomal RNA". It matches the Rfam family "Bacterial small subunit ribosomal RNA", at positions 338 to 795 of the family's 1533-position model. The record is from RNAcentral.
CCUACGGUGGGCAGCAGUGGGGAAUAUUGCGCAAUGGGCGAAAGCCUGACGCAGCGACGCCGCGUGAGGGAUGAAGGUCUUCGGAUCGUAAACCUCUGUCAGCAGGGAAGAACGGUCACUGUGCUAAUCAGCAGUGAAUUGACGGUACCUGCCAAGGAAGCACCGGCUAACUCCGUGCCAGCAGCCGCGGUAAUACGGAGGGUGCGAGCGUUAUCCGGAAUUACUGGGUGUAAAGGUAGCGUAGACGGCGAGGUAAGCCUGAGGUGGAAGCCCGCGGCCCAACCGCGGAACUGCUUUGGGAACUGUUUUGCUGGAGUAUGGGAGGGGUAAGCGGAAUUCCUGGUGUAGCGGUGAAAUGCGUAGAUAUCAGGAGGAACACCGGUGGCGAAGGCGGCUUACUGGACCAUAACUGACGUUGAGGCUCGAAAGCGUGGGGAGCGAACAGGAUUAGAUACCCGGGUAGUC